RNAcentral lists this ribosomal RNA (495 nucleotides) under uncultured bacterium. RNAcentral describes it as "partial 16S ribosomal RNA". It matches the Rfam family "Bacterial small subunit ribosomal RNA", at positions 28 to 507 of the family's 1533-position model. The record is from RNAcentral.
GACGAACGCUGGCGGCGUGCCUAAUACAUGCAAGUAGAACGCUGAAGGAGGAGCUUGCUUCUCUGGAUGAGUUGCGAACGGGUGAGUAACGCGUAGGUAACCUGCCUGGUAGCGGGGGAUAACUAUUGGAAACGAUAGCUAAUACCGCAUAAUAGCAGUUAUUGCAUGAUAACUGUUUGAAAGGUGCAAUUGCACCACUACCAGAUGGACCUGCGUUGUAUUAGCUAGUUGGUGGGGUAACGGCUCACCAAGGCGACGAUACAUAGCCGACCUGAGAGGGUGAUCGGCCACACUGGGACUGAGACACGGCCCAGACUCCUACGGGAGGCAGCAGUAGGGAAUCUUCGGCAAUGGACGGAAGUCUGACCGAGCAACGCCGCGUGAGUGAAGAAGGGUUUCGGAUCGUAAAGCUCUGUUGUAAGAGAAGAACGAGUGUGAGAGUGGAAAGUUCACACUGUGACGGUAUCUGACCAGAAAGGGACGGCUAACUACGUG